This is a long non-coding RNA of Lutra lutra (Eurasian river otter), 163 nucleotides long. RefSeq lists it as uncharacterized. The transcript has 3 exons. NCBI's taxonomy places the organism in Eukaryota, Metazoa, Chordata, Mammalia, Carnivora, Mustelidae. The record is from RefSeq and is a predicted model, not a curated record.
UCUUCAUUCCCCAGUCCCCUCACUGUGUCUCUCACACAGUAAUACACGGCUGUGUCCUCAGCUCUCAGGCUGUUCAUCUGCAGAUACAGCGUGUUCUUGCUGUUGUCUCUGGGGAUGGUGAAUCGGCCCUUCACAAAGUCUGUGUAGCUUGUGCUACUUCCAU